This 456-nucleotide ribosomal RNA is filed under the name uncultured Dietzia sp. Its description in RNAcentral is "bacterial SSU rRNA". It matches the Rfam family "Bacterial small subunit ribosomal RNA", at positions 925 to 1382 of the family's 1533-position model. Lineage: Bacteria; Bacillati; Actinomycetota; Actinomycetes; Mycobacteriales; Dietziaceae. The record is from RNAcentral.
ACAAGCGGCGGAGCAUGUGGAUUAAUUCGAUGCAACGCGAAGAACCUUACCUAGGCUUGACAUAUACAGGACGACGGCAGAGAUGUCGUUUCCCUUGUGGCUUGUAUACAGGUGGUGCAUGGUUGUCGUCAGCUCGUGUCGUGAGAUGUUGGGUUAAGUCCCGCAACGAGCGCAACCCCUGUCUCAUGUUGCCAGCACGUAAUGGUGGGGACUCGUGAGAGACUGCCGGGGUCAACUCGGAGGAAGGUGGGAUGACGUCAAAUCAUCAUGCCCCUUAUGUCUAGGGCUUCACACAUGCUACAAUGGCUAGUACAGAGGGCUGCGAUACCGCGAGGUGGAGCGAAUCCCUUAAAGCUGGUCUCAGUUCGGAUUGGGGUCUGCAACUCGACCCCAUGAAGUCGGAGUCGCUAGUAAUCGCAGAUCAGCAACGCUGCGGUGAAUACGUUCCCGGGCCUU